This 429-nucleotide ribosomal RNA is filed under the name uncultured archaeon. RNAcentral's name for it is "bacterial SSU rRNA". It matches the Rfam family "Archaeal small subunit ribosomal RNA", at positions 474 to 903 of the family's 1478-position model. The record is from RNAcentral.
UACCUGCAGCUCAAGUGGUGAUCGCUAUUAUUGGGCCUAGAACGUCCGUAGCCGGUCUUAUAAAUGCCUGGGUAAAUCGGGCCGCUCAACGGUUCGAAUUCCGGGUAGACUGUAAGACUUGGGACCGGGAGAGGCUAGAGGUACUCCUGGGGUAGAGGUGAAAUUCUGUAAUCCUGGGGGGACCACCAGUGGCGAAGGCGUCUAGCUAGAACGGGUCUGACGGUGAGGGACGAAGCCCUGGGGCGCAAACCGGAUUAGAUACCCGGGUAGUCCAGGGUGUAAACGCUGCUUGCUUGAUGUUGGUUGGGCUCCGAGCCCAAUCAGUGUCGGAGAGAAGUUGUUAAGCAAGCUGCCUGGGAAGUACGGUCGCAAGACUGGAACUUAAAGGAAUUGGCGGGGGAGCACAGCAACGGGUGGAGCGUGCGGUUU